Molecule: ribosomal RNA, 252 nt
Filed under: uncultured bacterium
Lineage: Bacteria
Description: partial 16S ribosomal RNA
Rfam family: Bacterial small subunit ribosomal RNA
Source: RNAcentral
UACGGAGGGUGCGAACGUUAAUCGGAAUCACUGGGCGUAAAGCGCGCGUAGGCGGUUUGCUAAGUGGGAUGUGAAAUCCCCGGGCUUAACCUGGGAAUUGCAUUUCAAACUGGCCGACUAGAGUACGGUAGAGGGAGGUAGAAUUUCCUGUGUAGCGGUGAAAUGCGUAGAUAUAGGAGGAACACCGGUGGCGAAGGCGGCUACCUGGACCGAUAUUGACGCUGAGACGCGAAAGCGUGGGGAGCAAACAGG